UACGGGGGGGGCAAGCGUUGUUCGGAAUUACUGGGCGUAAAGGGUGCGUAGGUGGCGUCGUAAGUCGGGUGUGAAAUUUCGGAGCUCAACUCCGAAACUGCAUUCGAUACUGCGGUGCUUGAGGACUGGAGAGGAGACUGGAAUUUACGGUGUAGCAGUGAAAUGCGUAGAGAUCGUAAGGAAGACCAGUGGCGAAGGCGGGUCUCUGGACAGUUCCUGACACUGAGGCACGAAGGCCAGGGGAGCAAACGGG
This 253-nucleotide ribosomal RNA is filed under the name uncultured bacterium. RNAcentral describes it as "partial 16S ribosomal RNA". It matches the Rfam family "Bacterial small subunit ribosomal RNA", at positions 524 to 776 of the family's 1533-position model. The record is from RNAcentral.